Molecule: long non-coding RNA, 5852 nt
Filed under: Xyrichtys novacula (pearly razorfish)
Lineage: Eukaryota; Metazoa; Chordata; Actinopteri; Labriformes; Labridae
Source: RNAcentral
UGACUCAGAGCCGCGUUCACGGCCUACCGACGCCGCGAAUUACGUCCAGGUGUGCAAAAGGUAACAACGCGAGAGAACAGCGUGUCAACAAUUUUAUUAAAAUACUGAGAAAUAGGAGGAUUGAGAGCGAUAUAAACGGAGGACAACAUAUUCUGAAUCACAGCGCAUCACGACUUUUGAGGUGAGUAAAAGAGAAGAGAAACACGAAGACGCUGAGUGGAUGAUGCUAAUGCUAACAGGCUAACCGCGCUCGUGUUUAAGCCUAAUAUGCUAGUGAACAGGUACUGCUAACUGUUGUAGUACUUUAUCGUUUAUUAAAUCAAAAUGAUUGAAUUGGAGUUUAAGUUUUAAAUUUAAAAAUGUUUUUACACAAAUGUGGUCAAGUUUAACCAAAAAUGAACUCAAAUUCUGAUGAUUUAUUUGUUGUAUUUAAUGGUAAAGGCACCCACAGAGUCGAUGUUUGACACAUUUAUACUCUGUACGUUUCACCUACAGGUCCGUCAGGUACCAGCUGAGACGGCUGGUCAUUUACGAAGUUCCUGGUCCCAGGCAGUGAUCGGACGUUUACAGGAUGUUGAAAACCAUUUGACCAAUUGCAAACGAGGCCCCUCAUAUCACAGGUAAUGUGACUGGUUCAUUUUGCGUGUCGAUUUUCAAAAUAAAAGCACGACAAAAACACAGCGCUUUGUGGGUUGUAUCAGGUGGUAGUUUGGUUCGUGCGUUUGUAGCAGAGUUUGGAGUAUAAUCAGCAGUGGUAGUUGUUGAAAGUAGAGGGUUAGUUGCAGUAGAAGUAGUAGUAGAAUUAGUAGUAGAAGUAGUAGGAGUAGUUUAAUGGGGCAAGCAAGAAAGAGAAGAACUGAUGACCCCCUCCACUCCCUGCCCCCCUCCCAACAUACAGUACUGUCACCCAAACACUUCACUUCCAACACACAACACCACCUAAUGUGUUUAAUCAAUAAUGAAAACUGAUAGACAUGAAAUGCACAAAUAGAAAAUAUUGAUUAGGAAUAAUAAGGGAGAGCAGUUAUAUCAAGACUUUAUUGUUAUUGUACCGGGAUUAAACACUUCUUUGAUUCUUCUGGUGCGUUCACUGACCUGCUGGAGCCAUGACCAUCAUCCAAACCAGCAACGUACAAAUAUCAACAUAAAAGUGGAUGAUUUUUAAGGUCCCCAAAUAAACAUAAACUAAAACAAAUAAAGUGUAUUUGAGAAACCAGAAGAGUUUCAGUGUCAUGACCCUCAGAGGUCACAUUUUCAGUGGUUUAAUAAUUCAUACGGUCAUUCUGGUGUUCCUGAACGUAACUCUGCACAGAGGGAUCUUUAAUGUAACUUUCCUUUACGAGACAGUAAAUUUAUAGGUUUGGUUUACAUCGUGUUUUAACAGAUCAUCUCUCUCCAUAUGUAACACACACGUUUCUCUGAGCUGCUGAAAUACCCCAGAGUAACUCAUCCCAGAAAAUAAAUGAGAUUUUAUUCAAACAAAACACAGAUUUCUGGUAAAACAACAGAGAAAUACUUCACUGUGUUCAUGCGUCGUGCUGAACAGGAAACACGGUUGUCAUGAGGAAUCUUGACACAACUCUCAUAUUUGCGAACAGAAACACAACAGGUGGGCGGCAGCAGCUGUUCACAGGAUGAGCCGUGUUAACGUAAAUAUGAUCAGACCUGAAGACAUCAGACCGACAUCUGUCUGAGCAAAGACACUGUGAGCUCCACAACAGCUACAGAGAUACAGAUGAUGACUAGGUGAUAAAAACAAGUAUGAUUAUUAUUGUUACCAGAUCAUAUCAGACUUUAGUGACGCUCUGUCAUGGAGCUGCCUGCUCCUCCUGAAACCACACCCUCCUGCUCACACCUGUAACAUGUUUGCUAAUCACCUGCCAGUCCUUAAACCAGUCAGUCUGAGCUGUUUUUGUCAGUUCGUAGUUUGUGCUUCUGUCUGCUUCGUAUCGAGCCUGCCGGUAUUUUCAACUCUGCCUGUUCUCAGGUUUGGAUUUUGCCCUCUGACUCUGUACUUCUGCCUGGUUGGACUGGAUUUCUUUCUUUCUUUUUCUUUCUCUUUUUCUUUCUUCUCAAACUUUAAGAACAAUAACAAAACUAGAAACAAAAACAUGGAACAAAAUAAUACAUCUGUACACCAAACAACUGAACAUGUCAAAGAUAAAUUUACACACACACAUGUAUGUCAAAAUAAAGUUUGAGAAGGAACAGAAUGAAGCAGAGAGAUUAUCUAGUCCUGCCCCUUCCUUUCAAAUUAGAGAUUAAAAAGAAAUCUAAUAAUAUAAAUUACAAAGAUCUGAAUAAAUACCUUCAUAUUCUACACAAAGAUAUCUGCUCAACACCACAUAGGUUACUUAUUAUACUUAUUUGCAUAUUAUAAUAGUUGUCAGUGUUAUAAUAUCCUGAAUUAAUAUUAUUUUUAAGCAAUCAAUUAUAUUUAUUAUAAAACCAACAAUUUGUUUUUUUGAUUUUGGGUUGGACUGUUACUCGCCCCUUUAGUACGCUGAUUAAAAUUCUGUUUUGGCGUUACAUCUGUCUCUGUUGUUCUGCACUUGGGUCUCUUCAGAACUGCGACAGUUUUCUAUAUUUAGACUCAUUUCUAUAUCAGUGUAAUGUGCUUUUACAUUCCCUUUAGUGAUUUUCAAACAGGAAAAAAUACAUAAACCACGAAAACAGAUUUAUAAUAAUCACGUUAAUUAACAAAAUCCUCAGAGUAAAGAUGAACCAAUUUGCGGUUCAUUUCUCUAAUGAUGACCUGAGAAUUGAGCGGAGCUAUGAGCACUUAAAAAAGUCCAUGAUAAUUAAAUAACUGACCCUUUUUCACUCAGAUGUGAGUCUUAAUGUCUGGAGAUAAUAUCAUCAUUAUCAAGUGUCCUUAUUAUAGAAAGAUAAUGAUGUGAUAAUUGUUUAUAUUCAAUAGUAAAAGUUUGCCCAUUAAGAGCAGGUACAUUUCAGUUUUCAAAAUGAUCAUUUAAAAUAGUUUUUAAAAAGUUUUAUGAUCGUAUUUUCAGAUGAAAAGACGCUCCCUUGUUUACUCCGUCUUUCAGAGAGGUUGUGGUAGCCUUUAAGGACAAGAAGCUCCGACGAUGCAUGUUGAAUACGAUUUUCUAUUUGUCACAUUUUUACCAUCAAAUGUCUUUUAAUACAAACUCUUUCACACACAAAAAACUCUCAAUUCUUCUAACCGAUGGAUCUUGUGAUCAUUUAUUGAAUUAAAAACAUGUCACAGGUUCUGUUGUAGAAACAUGGCGGCCUGAAUUGCCUAUCAGAAUUUAAAAUAAUCUUUUUUAUUUUCAUAAAAUAAGAAAACUGUUGGGAUUUUCCGACAGAAUACUAGGGCCACAGUAAGAAAAAAACAAAUAAGACUUUGAGAUUAAAGUCAAUAAUUUACAAGAAUAAGUCAUUACCUAAGAGAAUGAAGUCGUAAUCAACUAUUACUAUACUGAUGAUAAUGUGGUGCUGAUGUGCAAAGAGAUUAAAGUAUCUCCUUGUUUGAGAAAAAUAUAUUAAAGUAGAUUUUCACGAAAUGCUUCAUGGCUCUAAUUUCAACAACUGUCAUCUUAAACAGGUGAGAAUAUAAGGACUUUAUUCUGACUUUAUUCUCAUAAGUUAAUGAAUUUAAUCUCAAAGUCUUAAAUUAUUAUUUUUUUUAAUGUGGCCCUAAUACUGCGUCUUAGGAUUUAACAUUUGAUACAUCGUCUUUUUUUUUUACUAUUUUUAAGUAAAUUUAUUCUUUAAAUUAUUUGCAAAUUUCAAUCAUUGUAAACGUCAUUCUUAUUAUUUUAUUAAUUUAGUCUGUAUUUAAACUAACUGAUAGUUUCCCAGCAUCUCAGCUGUUGCAGUUCCCUCAGCGGCCACUGUGAGGCAGUCUCGACACACGUAUGAAGGGAGAAUCUGCAGAGAAACAAUCAGGCUGUUGUGAUUCUUGUUUACCAACCAUGGCUCCAGGGUCCAGCUGAGCCUGGCUGGAGUCAAUACUGAUAAUAAUAAUAAUAGUAAUAAUAAUAAUAGUAAUAGUUGUAGUGUUUUAAUGACGUCUGCUGGGGUUUGUAGUUUAUUUAAAAUUGUUCAGACUCUCUCUGUUCUCCUGCUCCUCUCUUUUAUUCUUCCCCUCUUCUCUCUCUCGGCUCGUUUCCUGCGGCUCUCUCCUUUGACAGGCAGGUGUGAGAGUGUGAACGGGCUGCCCCGGAGGGGGAUAGACACUGACCCCAAACCGUGAGUCUCCGGGCCCGAUCAGCCGGAGCCUGUUGUGGGUGCUCACGUCCGCAGACAGCGGAGAGAGCGGCCCCACGUCAGCCCUCAUCAGCUUUAUUUGAGAGGAUCCUUUCGCCUUAAUUAGCGCAGGAGGAGAAGGAGCGCCUCAUCUUGAAGGGCUGAUGGAGGGUGGGAGGGUGAAGGUGCUGCUGAGGUGUGGGUGGGGGUGUCUGCAGUUUGUCUUUUAGGGCACACAGUUCAAUUCGGGCUGUUCAACAGAGUUACGCUCAUGACUUCCUGAAGUGGGCCUGCUGGAGCUGGCUGUGAUGUCCGUUCUGUGUGGUUGUUAAGUGAAAUGUCAGCGGUGAACUCCUCAAACAGACGGAUCCUCAGACACGAUUUGAUGAAGGAUUUGAAACUGCAAUCACGGCCAAAGCCCUCCGCUGAAUCGCAGCAUCUCUGGACAAUAACAGGAGUCACUGUAUCCCCCCCACCAACACGCCAUCUGAGCUAAAACUGAAGGUCAUCUCCAUGGAAACUUUGCUGUUUAAAUUGGAGUAUGUUUAAUCCCAAUCCUCCGGCACCUGAAGACAUUAUCGCCGCAAAUCCCUCCGCCAGUCAUCAAAGCGAUGAGCUGGAUGCCCUUUAAGGCCGGCUCCAACCAGGCGGCUGCAGAAAACCGGUUUCUAGGGCUGCUCCUAAAAUACACCCGACAGACCUCAGACCUCCUGAAUGUCCCACAAACGGACGGAUCUGUGAUUGGUUUGUUUGCAGCGAGGGGAAGAGUGUUCUGCUGUUAUCGGAGAGGAUUUAUCCGUUUUGUUUUUUUAUUUUAGUGUCCGAGAAAGAUUGAAAUCCUCCAAAAAAACUCACCUGCUGUCACAUCAUGUUACCAUAAGUUUGUCAAUACCUGCCUGUUAGUGUUGGGCGGAAUGAACAAAUCUUAUAUCAUGGUAUGAGUAAUUUCAUAUCACGGUAACAGUAUAUAUCACAGUAUGUUUUUUUUUUCCCUGUAAAUUCAAUUAAUGUUUUAAAAAUAACCAAACUGUCUCAUUUGUUAAUUUUCCUUUUAUUGUCAGACCAGUCUGGCGAUGUUCUAUCAUAUGGCGUACCUUUGGCGAAAGACUCUGCCGAGCUCUUUUGUCUUAGAGGAGUUUUCAUCUUUAGGUUGUGGAAGAGGUUUCUGGUGUUUCCACCUCCAACAACGACAGCCACACGACACUCUUUGUAUAGUUUUAGUUUUUUGAUCACUGUCGGAUUUUCUAAAUCCGAAGAAUCUCCAGACAACCGAUGUCGUGACUCGCACCCUUUUUCGAAACGAGUUCCUCCUCUUACACGUUUGGUGGGUCGGGCUGCCUCCGUUUGUUCGGUACUGCCACUAAUCUCCGCCCCCGCCAUGACCACCACUAGUGAAGCUGUUUCUUCUUCACACGCUGGUGAUUAUAGGGAGCGCACCCGAACCUGACUAAUCAAACGGAGCGAACAAACUCCGCACGACACACUGGUGAAUAUACGGAAACGCACAAAACAUCUGCUCUCUCUCUCUCUCUCUCUCUCUUCGGUAUAAACUGUAAAGCAAAAUUUCUGCCUGUAGACACUUUUACACCGUCACACGGUGGUGGAGCCAUUCUUUAGUUCACCUGUGUGGCGCUGUGGAG